RNAcentral lists this ribosomal RNA (713 nucleotides) under uncultured bacterium. RNAcentral describes it as "bacterial SSU rRNA". It matches the Rfam family "Bacterial small subunit ribosomal RNA", at positions 77 to 802 of the family's 1533-position model. The record is from RNAcentral.
UCUUCGGAUGUGUAUAAAGUGGCGAACGGCUGAGUAACACGUGGGCAACCUGCCCUUUGCACUGGGAUAGCCUCGGGAAACCGAGGUUAAUACCGGAUACUCCAUAUUUGUCGCAUGGCGAAUAUGGGAAAGCUCCGGCGGCAAAGGAUGGGCCCGCGGCCUGUUAGCUAGUUGGUGGGGUAGUGGCCUACCAAGGCAAUGAUGGGUAGCCGGGUUGAGAGACCGACCGGCCAGAUUGGGACUGAGACACGGCCCAGACUCCUACGGGAGGCAGCAGUGGGGAAUCUUGCACAAUGGGCGAAAGCCUGAUGCAGCGACGCCGCGUGCGGGAUGAAGGCCUUCGGGUUGUAAACCGCUUUCAGCAGGGACGAGGCCGCAAGGUGACGGUACCUGCAGAAGAAGCCCCGGCUAACUACGUGCCAGCAGCCGCGGUAAUACGUAGGGGGCAAGCGUUAUCCGGAUUCAUUGGGCGUAAAGCGCGCGUAGGCGGUCUGUUAGGUCAGGAGUUAAAUCUGGGGGCUCAACCCCUAUCCGCUCCUGAUACCGGCAGGCUUGAGUCUGGUAGGGGAAGAUGGAAUUCCAAGUGUAGCGGUGAAAUGCGCAGAUAUUUGGAAGAACACCGGUGGCGAAGGCGGUCUUCUGGGCCAUGACUGACGCUGAGGCGCGAAAGCUAGGGGAGCGAACAGGAUUAGAUACCCUGGUAGUCCUAGCUG